Molecule: ribosomal RNA, 535 nt
Filed under: uncultured bacterium
Lineage: Bacteria
Description: bacterial SSU rRNA
Rfam family: Bacterial small subunit ribosomal RNA
Source: RNAcentral
AUCCAACCUACCGGUUAUUCCGGGAUAGCCUUUCGAAAGAAAGAUUAAUACCGGAUAGUAUAACGAGAAGGCAUCUUUUUGUUAUUAAAGAAUUUCGAUAACCGACGGGGAUGCGUUCCAUUAGUUUGUUGGCGGGGUAACGGCCCACCAAGACAUCGAUGGAUAGGGGUUCUGAGAGGAAGGUCCCCCACAUUGGAACUGAGACACGGUCCAAACUCCUACGGGAGGCAGCAGUGAGGAAUAUUGGUCAAUGGACGAGAGUCUGAACCAGCCAAGUAGCGUGAAGGAUGACUGCCCUAUGGGUUGUAAACUUCUUUUAUAUGGGAAUAAAGUGAGCCACGUGUGGCUUUUUGUAUGUACCAUACGAAUAAGGAUCGGCUAACUCCGUGCCAGCAGCCGCGGUAAUACGGAGGAUCCGAGCGUUAUCCGGAUUUAUUGGGUUUAAAGGGAGCGUAGGCGGACUAUUAAGUCAGCUGUGAAAGUUUGCGGCUCAACCGUAAAAUUGCAGUUGAUACUGGUCGUCUUGAGUGCAGUA